ACUCCUACGGGAGGCAGCAGUGGGGAAUAUUGCACAAUGGGCGCAAGCCUGAUGCAGCCAUGCCGCGUGUGUGAAGAAGGCCUUCGGGUUGUAAAGCACUUUCAGUCGUGAGGAAGGUAGUGUAGUUAAUAGCUGCAUUAUUUGUACGUUAGCGACAGAAGAAGCACCGGCUAACUCCGUGCCAGCAGCCGCGGUAAUACGGAGGGUGCGAGCGUUAAUCGGAAUUACGUGGGCGUAAAGCGCAUGCAGGUGGUUUGUUAAGUCAGAUGUGAAAGCCCGGGGCUCAACCUCGGAAUUGCAUUUGAAACUGGCAGACUAGAGUACUGUAGAGGGGGUUAGAAUUUCAGGUGUAGCGGUGAAAUGCGUAGAGAUCUGAAGGUAAUACCGGUGGCGAAGGCGGCCCCUGGACAGAUACUGACACUCAGAUGCGAAAGCGUGGGAGCAAACAGGAUUAGAUACCCCGUGGUAGGAUUAGCG
This 477-nucleotide ribosomal RNA is filed under the name uncultured bacterium. RNAcentral describes it as "bacterial SSU rRNA". It matches the Rfam family "Bacterial small subunit ribosomal RNA", at positions 335 to 801 of the family's 1533-position model. The record is from RNAcentral.